This 284-nucleotide ribosomal RNA is filed under the name uncultured Pseudomonas sp. Its description in RNAcentral is "partial 16S ribosomal RNA". It matches the Rfam family "Bacterial small subunit ribosomal RNA", at positions 1088 to 1382 of the family's 1533-position model. Lineage: Bacteria; Pseudomonadati; Pseudomonadota; Gammaproteobacteria; Pseudomonadales; Pseudomonadaceae. The record is from RNAcentral.
GGUAACGAGCGUCAACCCUUGCUGUUAGUUACAAGGUGUCUAACGGGGACUGCCGGUUUAAUACCGGAGGAAGGUGGGGAUGACGUCAAGUCAGCAUGGCCUCUAUGGUCCAGGGCUACACACGUGCUACAGUGGGGGGUACAGAGGGUUGCCAAGCCGCGAGGUGGAGCUAAUCCCAUAAAACCUCUCGUAGUCCGGAUUGGAGUCUGCAACUCGACUCCAUGAAGUCGGAAUCGCUAGUAAUCGCGAAUCAGAACGUCGCGGUGAAUACGUUCCCGGGCCUU